AGUGAAUAAUUCAACGGCCGCGGUACCCUAACCGUGCAAAGGUAGCAUAAUCACUUGUCUAUUAAUUGUAGACCAGCAUGAACGGCAAAAUGAAGGCCUAACUGUCUCUUAUAGUAAAUCAAUUAAACUGAUCUUCUAGUAAAAAAGCUAGAAUAACCACAUAAGACCAGAAGACCCUGUGAAGCUUAAACUACACUAUUAAACCCAAUAAUAGCUACUUUUGGUUGGGGCGACCUUGGAAAAAAAAAGAACUUCCAAACAACAACUAUAAACUACACACCGGCCUACAAGCCCACACCGACCCAGUAAAACUGACAAUCGAACCAAGUUACUCCAGGGAUAACAGCGCCAUCUUCUUUAAGAGUCCAUAUCAAAAAGAAGGUUUACGACCUCGAUGUUGGAUCAGGACAUCCUAA
Molecule: ribosomal RNA, 416 nt
Filed under: Thamnodynastes lanei
Lineage: Eukaryota; Metazoa; Chordata; Lepidosauria; Squamata; Dipsadidae
Description: partial 16S ribosomal RNA
Rfam family: Bacterial large subunit ribosomal RNA
Source: RNAcentral